GGAAUUGCUAGUAAUCACAGGUCAGCAUACUGUGGUGAAUACGUUCCCGGGCCUUGUACACACCGCCCGUCACACCAUGAGAGUUGAGAAUACCCGAAGCCCAUGUCAAAGUGGUCGAAGGUAGGCUUGAUGAUUGGGGUGAAGUCGUAACAAGGUAUC
This 159-nucleotide ribosomal RNA is filed under the name uncultured bacterium. RNAcentral describes it as "partial 16S ribosomal RNA". It matches the Rfam family "Bacterial small subunit ribosomal RNA", at positions 1328 to 1500 of the family's 1533-position model. The record is from RNAcentral.